This is a long non-coding RNA of Anolis carolinensis (green anole), 1486 nucleotides long. RefSeq lists it as uncharacterized. The transcript is spliced from 4 exons. Lineage: Eukaryota; Metazoa; Chordata; Lepidosauria; Squamata; Anolidae. The record is from RefSeq and is a predicted model, not a curated record.
GAAGGGUGAACGCGAGGAGGAGGAGGGAGAAGGGGCGGGCGCUUUCGUCACAACUGCCUCCCUUCUUCCCUGCUUUCUGAGAGCGAGGAGCGUACAGACAUUUUAAACUUACUUCCUUAAUUGUGUACACAAUACCUGGAAGGGAAAGGGGAUGGAUAACGGGGUGCCUUGAUACGGUUUGUGUUUAGAGUUGGACUGAGGGAGAAGGCAGCGCGUGCCACUGCGCAGGCGCGCCCGUCCCCUCAUUUUUUUCUUGGUGGGUGGGUGGCGCGGGCUGGAAGGUUCUGGAAAGCGCGGCGACGGUAGUUCGUUGCGGUUUUCCUCCUCCCCCCUCGAGAAACAGGCAAGAGAGCGCAGCGCACAGGCUUGACUGCUUCUUCGGGUGACGCGGAUACUAGACAGCGAAGCCUCGCCAUCCGUUGAGGUGACUCCCUUCCCGAGGGAAGGGCUUUCCGGCGACGGUGGCGCAGUGAGUUUUAAAUAAACACCCGAGUGCGCAUGCGCUGCUGGCCUAAAGGGCUCCGCUGCAUUUUAAUAAUAAAAAGACUUACAAUUUAAAGAAGUCAUGAAACAUAAGGGAAAGAAAAUGGCUGCUCCUGGAAUGGAGGGAGGACAUAUAGAAGAUUUUGGGUUCAAUCCCAGUGUGAACGUGGUCAGUUGACACUCCAGAAGAGAUUGGGGACUUGCAGCCAAACAACACCAAAGAGUGGUCCAGUUGGCAACUGUUAUUGAAUAAGAAGAAGAAAAGAGAAUUUCUACUGCAGUGGGGUUUCAAAGAUAAGGAAUCCAAACCAUGUUGCUAUGGCAGCAUUCGAAACCUAUAUAGUAAAUGUCUAUUUAAAAGGGGGUAAGUGUACUCUUCCUUUGUAUCUUUUUGUGAUGAAAUAACAGCUAUUUGUUCAAAGUAAUAUAUGAUUUAGGACUACCCUCCAAGAUUACCAAUAAAGAUUAAGACAACAGAUGCGGAGUCAAAAAGGUUAGUUUGAUGGAAAGGCCUGUGACUCAUGACAUUCAUCUUCAAGAUAUCCUGAACAGAGUUGGGUUUACUCUGUGGGUGAGCAUUGAGAGAUGUCUGUGCUCAGCAGCACAUGCCAAUCUGUGGAGCAGACAUAGCAAUUAAUCCUUAAUCGCUUCAAAUAAAGGAAGUAAUAAAAACAGGACUUUGAAAAGACCUUGAUCAACCGUUACUUGUGAAUUUUUAUGGCAAUGCAAUAAAUAAUGGCCUGGUUAGAAUGAGAGCACAGAUGACCAGAUUGUUCUGGUUGGUGCUCCAUGGCAUGGCCAUUUGUCCUUUGGGGUGCCGCAGUUUUAUUUGGCCCAAUACUUUUUAAUAUUUACAUUAAAAUACUGGGUAAAAUUGAAGUGAUGUUGUUGGUAAUGGACCACUUAUUAAAUUAAAGAACCAAACUAGCAAUGUAAGAGAUUAACUUAUAGACCAGUGGUUCUCAACCUGUGAGUCCCCAGAUGUUUUGGCCUUCAACUCCCA